Neopsephotus bourkii (Bourke's parrot) is the source of this 487-nucleotide long non-coding RNA. RefSeq lists it as uncharacterized. The record is from RefSeq and is a predicted model, not a curated record. The transcript has 2 exons. NCBI's taxonomy places the organism in Eukaryota, Metazoa, Chordata, Aves, Psittaciformes, Psittacidae.
CAGAUCAUCCAUAGAGUUAUGCAGAAAAUUCUUCUGUUUAACAGGAUGCUGCACUAGCAAGAGGAACACCUGAAGGAGCUUUGAUCCUCUGGAAAUCAGCUUUCAUUAUGAUGAAAGAUGUCUUCAUCCAACAUGAGACAGUUUAUAAAGUCCAAACUUGUGCUAAACAUGAUUUCACUAGUCAGAUGUUCUAUGCUCCUUUGAAGACCUCAAAAGUACUGAAGUUAAAAAGCUCUGAGAAUAUUUGUUAUGAGCAGGAAUAAAUAUUCCAGCUCUACAUCAACCUCAUGAUGGACUAAUUCGAACAGACUGGUAGAAAGUCUGCAGACCAUGUUGAUAUUCUGCACAGGAGCUUCAGACAUCUGAUUGCCUGGCUUGACUGCAGCAGGAUGGCAAUAGGAAUUGACAUGAUUGAAACAGAUCCAGAAGUCUUCUGUAAAGAGUGGUGAAACUAGAAAAAAUAUUUACUGUUUCUUAGGCGAAUUGA